Long non-coding RNA from Ostrea edulis (European flat oyster), 646 nucleotides. RefSeq lists it as uncharacterized. The record is from RefSeq and is a predicted model, not a curated record. Lineage: Eukaryota; Metazoa; Mollusca; Bivalvia; Ostreida; Ostreidae. The transcript has 2 exons.
UCGCGUGACUCGUGCCUGUGUAGUGACCGCAAUGCACGACGGGUAGAUCCCCACAUUGUAUGUCUGCAAUAAUCAGUAAAUGGUACAUGUAUAUUUAGUAAAUGAUUCACUACAAAACUUAGUUUGUAAAUGAAAAAUAACCCAGAGAGAGGUCAUGGAUUUCACAUUGUACUAGUGGUAGCUUGUGUAUUAUCAAUAGGCACCCUGGUCACGGGUCUUUCGGAUUUAAAAACAGAGUCGCGACAGGCGUCAGUCCUCACUGCUAACACCCUGGGUACCAUACAUUUGUGACACUUUACGUAGAGCUUAUGACGUUUGAAUGUCGGUGAUAAACUCUUGAAAUAGAUACACAAAAAGAUCGUACCUCCAUGAAAGGUGAAGAUAACGAACAGUGAUCAAUCUCAUAACUCCUAUAAGCAAUACAAAACAGAGAGUUGGGCAAAUACGGACCCCUGGAUAUACUAGAGGUGGGAUCAGGUACCUAGGAGGAAUCAUAGACUUAUCAAAUACAGGGAGCAAAAUAAUCCCCCUACCAGUAUUCCGAGAGUGUCUGAGCAGGAAUAUUCGCCCGAUUCCUUUAUAUUUCAAUAGCACCUCUAUGAACACUGGGUUUGAUACCAACUAAUAAAAGUAUUGGUAAACAGUU